Molecule: ribosomal RNA, 447 nt
Filed under: uncultured bacterium
Lineage: Bacteria
Description: bacterial SSU rRNA
Rfam family: Bacterial small subunit ribosomal RNA
Source: RNAcentral
GUUCCAGACUCCUACGGGAGGCAGCAGUGGGGGAUAUUGCACAAUGGGGGGAACCCUGAUGCAGCGACGCCGCGUGGGCGAUGGAGCGCCUCGGCGCGUAAAGCCCUAUCAGCAGGGAAGAAAAUGACGGUACCUGACUAAGAAGCCCCGGCUAAAUACGUGCCAGCAGCCGCGGUAAUACGUAUGGGGCAAGCGUUAUCCGGAUUUACUGGGUGUAAAGGGAGCGCAGGCGGCCUGGCAAGCCUGAUGUGAAAUACCGGGGCCCAACCCCGGGGCUGCAUUGGGAACUGCCAGGCUGGAGUGCCGGAGAGGCAGGCGGAAUUCCUAGUGUAGCGGUGAAAUGCGUAGAUAUUAGGAGGAACACCAGUGGCGAAGGCGGCCUGCUGGACGGUGACUGACGCUGAGGCUCGAAAGCGUGGGGAGCAAACAGGAUUAGAUACCCGAGUA